GUAGGUGAACCUGCGGAAGGAUCAUUAAUGAGAUCAUGCCCCUCGGGGUAGACCUCCCACCCUCUGUAUACAAUACCUUUGUUGCUUUGGCGGCCCCGUCGCACGACAACCGGCCCCGGCUGGUCAGCGGCCGCCAGAGGAAUCAAAACUCAUAUCAUCAUUGUCGUCUGAGUACUAUACAAUAGUUAAAACUUUCAACAACGGAUCUCUUGGUUCUG
RNAcentral lists this unclassified non-coding RNA (218 nucleotides) under rhizosphere metagenome. Its description in RNAcentral is "partial ribosomal RNA internal transcribed spacer region". The record is from RNAcentral.